Molecule: long non-coding RNA, 437 nt
Organism: Cercocebus atys (sooty mangabey)
Lineage: Eukaryota; Metazoa; Chordata; Mammalia; Primates; Cercopithecidae
Exons: 3
Source: RefSeq, a predicted model, not a curated record
CCGAGGCCCGGCUCCUGGCACCGCCCUCCGAGGAGUGCUGUCCUGCGCGCUGCAGCCAGUCUGCGAGGCUAAGCUGUUCAUUGGACACCUGCUAUAUGUCAAGUCCUGGGGAUUCAGAGAGGAAAGAGCACACCCUUUUCUCAGUGAUGAAGCAGACACUUCAAUCGGCAAUUUAUCAAAGACAGGAGUCUUGGAAACCCCAGAUAAGGGGGGAAGUGAAGACUAAACUUUAGCUAUGCCCCUUUUGUUCCAAGUUUCCUCCUGAGGGGCUUAGAGAAAAUGACUUCCCCUAACCAGUUGACAUUUUUCUACCGACUCAAAAUUUGAAAUUUUUAAAUAAAGCUUCUCUUCCUUAAUCCAUUGCAAAUCAGAAGAUGUUUAAAUCUUUUUCUUUUCUUUUGAGAUUAAGUCUCACUCUGUUGCCCAAGCUGGAGUGC